UAAAACCAGCACCUCAAGUGGUCAGGAUGAUUAUUGGGCCUAAAGCAUCCGUAGCCUGCCCUGUAAGUUUUCGGUUAAAUCUGUAUGCUCAACAUACAGGCCGCCGGGAAUACUGCAGGGCUAGGGAGUGGGAGAGGUAGACGGUACUCGGGAGGAAGUGGUAAAAUGCUUUGAUCUCUCGAUGACCACCUGUGGCGAAGGCGGUCUACCAGAACACGUCCGACAGUGAGGGAUGAAAGCUGGGGGAGCAAACCGGAUUAGAUACCCGGGUAGUCCCAGCCGUAAACUAUGCAAACUCAGUGAUGCAUUGGCUUGUGGCCAAUGCAGUGUUGCAGGGAAGCCGUUAAGUUUGCCGCCUGGGAAGUACGUACGCAAGUAUG
Molecule: ribosomal RNA, 380 nt
Filed under: uncultured marine group I thaumarchaeote
Lineage: Archaea; Thermoproteati; Nitrososphaerota
Description: bacterial SSU rRNA
Rfam family: Archaeal small subunit ribosomal RNA
Source: RNAcentral